Molecule: long non-coding RNA, 858 nt
Filed under: Olea europaea subsp. europaea
Lineage: Eukaryota; Viridiplantae; Streptophyta; Magnoliopsida; Lamiales; Oleaceae
Source: RNAcentral
AGUGAAUCCAGCCCAGCAAUUUAACGGGUCUUCUACUACUCUUCUACUUUUCUACGUUCCUCGUGACCAAGAAAGAAAACCCCGGAUCAUUCUAAUACUCACAGAUCUUCAAAAUUGAAGGUUCGAAGAAUUUCCGGAGCGGUGCAUCGCAAACUCUAUUUAGUAAGGUGUUGGUUUUUUUGGUGUUGGAAUCUUAUUUUUUGGUUAUAUGUUGAAGAAAAAAAAGGGAUUUCGGGUAAGUUUUUUACUCGAUAUGGAUGAAUUUUUAAGAUUUUAACUUCCCUUUUUAUGUUUUUUUGCUUUGACAGUAUACUACUUGGCCUUCCGAUAUUGAUAAAUCUGCUUCCUUGGACGACCUUUCUGGAGUGUUGCGAUUUUUGUUAGGUAAGUUUUUAUUUUGGGGGUGUUUGGAAUUCAUUUAUUUUUGGGGAUUUUGGGUACAUCUGCUUUGCUCGACUUCAUCAAAGGUUCAAUUCCAAAAUUUUUUUUUUUUAAUGUUGUUUAGCUGGAAUUUGAUCAACUGGAAAGAGUUCCUUGUGUCAGUAUUUCUAUCUGGUUUUUACUUUAAGAACGAGGAAAAUUUUCUGCUGAGUGUUGCCACAAUAAUAUGUUGUAAUAAAUUAGGCAGAACCUCUGAAGUGUAGUUAAUGAAAGUAUGAAGUGCAAAUUCAACACCAUUUCAUUUAAUCAGAUUUUGGGUGCAUAAAUUAAUCUGUAUGCGUGUUGAUUUUGCUCAUGUUUGUGUUAAUCCUUCGAUUAUUUGAUCUAUUAGGCAUUGUGCUACUGAAUGCUUAAAGGACGAAAUGUUCAACGUGUAUGAAACGAGGAGGAAUUUAAGAUUGAUAUAUAGGCAACUAU